GCCCUACGGGGGGCAGCAGUGAGGAAUAUUGGUCAAUGGGCGGAAGCCUGAACCAGCCAAGUCGCGUGAGGGAAUAAGGCCCUACGGGUCGUAAACCUCUUUUGCCGGGGAGCAAGGGCGGGGACGUGUCCCGGCUCGGAGAGUACCCGGAGAAAAAGCAUCGGCUAACUCCGUGCCAGCAGCCGCGGUAAUACGGAGGAUGCGAGCGUUAUCCGGAUUUAUUGGGUUUAAAGGGUGCGUAGGCGGGCUUUUAAGUCAGCGGUAAAAAUUCGGGGCUCAACCCCGGCCGGCCGUUGAAACUGGGG
Molecule: ribosomal RNA, 305 nt
Filed under: uncultured bacterium
Lineage: Bacteria
Description: bacterial SSU rRNA
Rfam family: Bacterial small subunit ribosomal RNA
Source: RNAcentral